Non-coding RNA from Xylariaceae sp. FL1272, 90 nucleotides. Lineage: Eukaryota; Fungi; Ascomycota; Sordariomycetes; Xylariales; Xylariaceae. The record is from the annotation of a GenBank genome assembly.
GGGCGUGUAGCGCAGAGGUAGAGCAUCCGCUUUGCGUGCAGAUAAGCAUCAAAUUGCGGAAGGUCUUGGGUUCGAGCCCCAACUCGUCCA